This 253-nucleotide ribosomal RNA is filed under the name uncultured bacterium. RNAcentral's name for it is "partial 16S ribosomal RNA". It matches the Rfam family "Bacterial small subunit ribosomal RNA", at positions 524 to 776 of the family's 1533-position model. The record is from RNAcentral.
UACGGAGGGUGCAAGCGUUGUCCGGAUUCAUUGGGUUUAAAGGGUGCGCAGGCGGGCGAUUAGGUCAGGGGUGAAAGACGGUUGCUCAACAAUCGCAGUGCCUUUGAUACUGGUUGUCUUGGGUGACCUUGAGGUAGGCGGAAUGGGUGGUGUAGCGGUGAAAUGCAUAGAUACCACCCAGAACUCCGAUUGCGAAGGCAGCCUACUGGAGGUUCACCGACGCUCAGGCACGAAAGCGUGGGGAUCAAACAGG